Molecule: ribosomal RNA, 253 nt
Filed under: uncultured bacterium
Lineage: Bacteria
Description: partial 16S ribosomal RNA
Rfam family: Bacterial small subunit ribosomal RNA
Source: RNAcentral
GACGAACCGUGCGAACGUUAUCCGGAGUUACUGGGCGUAAAGGGCGUGUAGGCGGUUAGUUAAGGCUGGCGUGAAAGCUCUCGGCUAAACCGGGAGAGGUCGUUGGAUACUGGCUGACUAGAGGACGGUAGAGGCGUGUGGAAUUCCGGGUGUAGUGGUGAAAUGCGUAGAGAUCCGGAGGAACACCAGUGGCGAAGGCGACACGCUGGGCCGUACCUGACGCUAAAGCGCGACAGCAUGGGGAGCAAACGGG